UGGGCGAUUAACUCAGUGGUUAGAGUGCUACCUUCACACGGUAGAAGUCACUGGUUCAAAUCCAGUAUCGCCCAA
This 75-nucleotide transfer RNA is filed under the name Spirochaetia bacterium. RNAcentral describes it as "tRNA-Val". It matches the Rfam family "tRNA". From Rfam's summary of the family: Transfer RNA (tRNA) molecules are approximately 80 nucleotides in length. Their secondary structure includes four short double-helical elements and three loops (D, anti-codon, and T loops). Further hydrogen bonds mediate the characteristic L-shaped molecular structure. tRNAs have two regions of fundamental functional importance: the anti-codon, which is responsible for specific mRNA codon recognition, and the 3' end, to which the tRNAs corresponding amino acid is attached (by aminoacyl-tRNA synthetases). tRNAs cope with the degeneracy of the genetic code in two manners: having more than one tRNA (with a specific anti-codon) for a particular amino acid; and 'wobble' base-pairing, i.e. permitting non-standard base-pairing at the 3rd anti-codon position. Lineage: Bacteria; Pseudomonadati; Spirochaetota; Spirochaetia. The record is from RNAcentral.